AACGCUGGCGGCGUGCUUACACAUGCAAGUCGAACGAUGAAGCCUAGCUUGCUAGGUGGAUUAGUGGCGAACGGGUGAGUAAUACGUGAGUAACCUACCUUUAACUCUGGGAUAAGCCUGAGAAACUGGGUCUAAUACCGGAUACGACCAAUCUCCGCAUGGGGUGUUGGUGGAAAGCGUUAUGUAGUGGUUAUAGAUGGGCUCACGGCCUAUCAGCUUGUUGGUGAGGUAACGGCUCACCAAGGCGACGACGGGUAGCCGGCCUGAGAGGGUGACCGGCCACACUGGGACUGAGACACGGCCCAGACUCCUACGGGAGGCAGCAGUGGGGAAUAUUGCACAAUGGGCGCAAGCCUGAUGCAGCGACGCCGCGUGAGGGAUGACGGCCUUCGGGUUGUAAACCUCUGUUAGCAGGGAAGAAGAGAAAUUGACGGUACCUGCAGAGAAAGCGCCGGCUAACUACGUGCCAGCAGCCGCGGUAAUACGUAGGGCGCGAGCGUUGUCCGGAAUUAUUGGGCGUAAAGAGCUUGUAGGCGGUUUGUCGCGUCUGCUGUGAAAGGCCGGGGCUUAACCCCGUGUAUUGCAGUGGGUACGGGCAGACUAGAGUGCAGUAGGGGAGACUGGAAUUCCUGGUGUAGCGGUGGAAUGCGCAGAUAUCAGGAGGAACACCGAUGGCGAAGGCAGGUCUCUGGGCUGUAACUGACGCUGAGAAGCGAAAGCAUGGGGAGCGAACAGGAUUAGAUACCCUGGUAGUCCAUGCCGUAAACGUUGGGCACUAGGUGUGGGGGACAUUCCACGUUUUCCGCGCCGUAGCUAACGCAUUAAGUGCCCCGC
This 834-nucleotide ribosomal RNA is filed under the name uncultured Rothia sp. RNAcentral's name for it is "bacterial SSU rRNA". It matches the Rfam family "Bacterial small subunit ribosomal RNA", at positions 32 to 872 of the family's 1533-position model. The record is from RNAcentral. Lineage: Bacteria; Bacillati; Actinomycetota; Actinomycetes; Micrococcales; Micrococcaceae.